This 350-nucleotide unclassified non-coding RNA is filed under the name plant metagenome. RNAcentral describes it as "partial contains 5.8S ribosomal RNA, internal transcribed spacer 2, and large subunit ribosomal RNA". The stretch from base 1 to 105 matches the Rfam family "5.8S ribosomal RNA", at positions 50 to 154 of the family's 154-position model. The record is from RNAcentral.
GAAAUGCGAUAAGUAAUGUGAAUUGCAGAAUUCAGUGAAUCAUCGAAUCUUUGAACGCACCUUGCGCUCCUUGGUAUUCCGAGGAGCAUGCCUGUUUGAGUGUCAUGGAAUUCUCAACUCUAUUUGCUUUUGUGAAUAGAGCUUGGAUUUGGAGGUUUAUUGCUGGUACUUGUGAUUGGCUCCUCUUGAAUGCAUUAGCUCGAACCUUUGCGGAUCAGCUAUCGGUGUGAUAAUUGUCUACGCCGUUGCAGUGAAGCAUAUCAAUGGGCUCGGCUUCCAAUCGUCCUUUCCUGGACAAUGACUUUGACCUUUGACCUCAAAUCAGUUAGGAUUACCCGCUGACCUUAAGC